RNAcentral lists this ribosomal RNA (253 nucleotides) under uncultured bacterium. RNAcentral's name for it is "partial 16S ribosomal RNA". It matches the Rfam family "Bacterial small subunit ribosomal RNA", at positions 524 to 776 of the family's 1533-position model. The record is from RNAcentral.
GACGAACCGUGCGAACGUUAUUCGGAAUCACUGGGCUUAAAGCGCGUGUAGGCGGGACGGCACGUCGGUCGCUGAAAGCCCCCGGCUCAACCGGGGAACGGGCGCCGAUACGACCGUCCUGGAGGGACGUAGGGGGACCUGGAACAUCCGGUGGAGCGGUGAAAUGCGUUGAGAUCGGAUGAGAGCCCGUGGCGAAAGCGAGGUCCUGGACGUUUUCUGACGCUGAGACGCGAAAGCCAGGGGAGCGAACGGG